Aegilops tauschii subsp. strangulata is the source of this 4366-nucleotide non-coding RNA. The record is from RefSeq and is a predicted model, not a curated record. Lineage: Eukaryota; Viridiplantae; Streptophyta; Magnoliopsida; Poales; Poaceae.
CCUUUCUGACCUCUUGCUUUGAUUGCUUUGAGUUUAGUGGUUCUAGUUUGUUCUGUUGUCCUUGCUUCGUGGAGGGCUGUCUGUUGUAUGCUUCAUCAGUUUGUUCUUCUAUUACUUUAUCAGAAGGGCUGUUUCAUAAAUCAACAUAAACAGAUUAGUAAAUUCUUAUGGAGUAAUCCUACUUGCUAUAUUAUCACUUAACUUCUGUGCCGUAGAUUUUGUGAGCAUCACCUAACCCUUAAAAAUGGUAUACAAAUUCUUGUUAUCAGCAUCUUGGUAAAAGUGAGUUCAGUUACAUUUUGGGAAAUCUUUAGCAAGUAAUCACUAAGGGCACAACUCCGGAGUAAACGUUUACCAAUUUCUUAACUUGUAAGUGAUACAGUGGAGACACGUGAAUCAACUGCAUCAAGUCAACUACGCGAAAAAAUGCAGUUGAAUCAACUGAACGAGAAAACACAUCAACGGUAUCUGCACCGUUUACUAGUUUCUUAUGGGGUAAAUGUGCACUACUUAGCAAAGCACGUCAUGAAAUACCUAACAUGCAUAUACUGUUUUUUCAGCAAGAAUAAAACGUUGGUGAAGCAAGCUUUCCCUUGGCUAAAGUUAAGUUACCUUGCUACCAUCUUUCCAGAUUCCUUCUCAAUAUUUUGCAUCCUGCAUACGUUUGAGUAGAAUGUGCUUUUCUGGAGCAACUCUUGAUGUGUCCCGGUCUGUGCCACACUUCCAUUCUCUACGACAACAAUGGUGUCAGCAUUUACAAUUGUGGACAUCCUGUGGGCUAUCAGGAUAACUGUCCUUCCAUGCAUGGCUCUCUCAAGUGCAUCCUGCACUAGCUUUUCUGACUCUGAAUCAAGGGCACUUGUCGCUUCAUCCAGAAGGAGAAUUGGUGGAUCCUUCAGCAUUGCCCUUGCAAUAGCUACUCUUUGUUUCUGGCCUCCUGACAACUGCACACCUCUUUCUCCUACCUGAUGAACCAAGAUGUUGUAAGGAACAAGGGGAGUUCUUUCAAAAAAACUUGAUAUACAUAAUGAACUAUUACAGAACCACCCAUGAUUCUCCAACAAGAUCAAGUUCUGUCUAUUAUAUAUUUUUGAACUUCUAAUUAUAAUAUAUCGACUACUCAUUGUACUUUAUUCUUGGAAUUUUCUUGAUCAUAAGAUAACAGGAGUUUUAUGAUUUAUCUUGAACUUUCAAAUGGUUCCUUGGAAUAGGCAUUCAUUGCGCUUAGUUUACUAACUGUACAACUAAAAAGGAUUUGUUGUGAUUUUUUUUUCUACUAACCUCUACUUCUGUUGUUCUGGCUUCCAUUGCAAGUUGUAUGCACAUUUGAUUUUCAGCCAAAGCUCUGUGUGUCUUUCAUGUUUAAAUUUGGAAAUUCAUAUGCGGUAUUACUAUUGGAAGGUCAUUUGCAUACUACUCAUUAUUAUCUAUUUACUUUACCAGCCAAUUCCGUUGUAAUAUACUGCAUCCGAUCCAUAUUAAUUGUCGCUGACUUAGCUGAUUUAGUACAAAGUCAGCGACAAUUGAUAUGGAUCGGAGGGAGUAAAAUUAUUGACAGAACGUUGUUGACAAAGUGCCAACUAUGAGUCUGAUAAAAGGCAAUGCAAUUGGCAUGAUCAUAAUAGUGCCACGUUAUUGUCAAAGCGCCAAUCACAAGUCUGAUGAAAAAAGAAAAACUAUUGUCACUGUAAUAGUAUCACAAUGUUUUUGUUUUAACUUUCAAUGGUCUUAACCUUUUCGUGUCCUAAUAAAAACCAUAAAGGAAGACAAUUCAUGUUUAAGUGCAGAACGUAGCUAGCCUUCAGUCAAAUAUACAGAAUUACCCUUUUCUUGCAUUCCUUGCUGAACACAUAUGUACCUCUGUUAAGUAUUCAUUGGGAAGUUUAGAUAUGAAUGAAUGCACAUUAGCUGUUGUUGCUGCUUCAAUUAUCUCUUCAUCAGUUGCAUCCAUUUUACCAAUCCUUAAGUUGUCCUUGAUAGUACCAGAAAACAGCGAUGGCUCCUGAGAUACUGAAGCUAUAUUUCUCCGCAGGGAUUUCAGAUCUAGUUUCUUAAUACUGUGGCCAUCAAUGAAUAUGUCACCUGCAACAUUAUGUCUCAUCACUGACUGAAAUAUUAUGACUAGUUUAGCUUGCAAGUACAUAGGCAUUUUUAUUGAUGACAGCCAAAUUCUAACCUUAAUUCUGACAUAGAACUUAAUAAUAUAUACUUAUUGACUUAGAGCACACAUACAGUUGCACCAGGCAAAUGAUGGAAGCCUACCUGAGGUUGGAUCAUAGAACCUUUGAAGUAGUGAAAUAACUGUGCUCUUCCCAGAGCCGCUGCUUCCUACCAGAGCAACAACUUUGCCUGCGGGGAUUGACAGUGAGAAUCCUUGGAGAAUUGGCUUAUCCUGGCGGGAGGGAUAGGCGAAAUGCACCCCAUGCAGUUUGAUCUCUCCAUAAACCUUUUCUAAUAUCGCUCCACCUUUUGUGUAACUUAUGGAUGGAUUCCUUCUGAUCACCUUGAAGACCUCUUUUCCUGCAGCCUUUGCUUGAUUAAAGGUCUGAAGAUCUGGUGCAGCGUAGGUAAUUGAUCUGCACUCCAUGCGGUGAAAUCAGUCAAGUCUAUUGAUUAUAAUUCAUGGAAAAGGAAAGAAUAUGCAUGCAUACUACCUAUGUACCUUGCAAAAAAUCAUAUUUGAAUGAAAAUUGUUUAGGCGAUUGAAGCAAUCAGAUAGGGUGUAGUUUUAUUACAUUGCGCCAAAGAGGAUGCUCAUGAUGGCAGCUAUCGUGCCACCUCCUGUUGCUGUCCGGUUGCUUACUGCAACUGCCCCAAUCCAAACCAUCAGUGCCCAUGAACAAAAGGUCACUGUUUGGAACAAGCCCAGCCCUAUUCCCUUUAUCAUCGCCUCCUUCUUGCUUAAUUUGUAUUGAUUGUCUGUGCACUGCACAAAGGAUUUCAUGGCCCAGUUCUCUCCGGCAAAGGAGAAGACAGUCUUGAUAUGUGACAAAGUCUGCCCACAAAUGCACACAAGGAUUACAUAGUUAAUUUUUUUUCUAAUAACAUUUUUAUUUUUUAUAUUUCUGUUUAUUCAAAUAACCUAGCUUCAGGUACGGAGCGUUGACUCAUCUACGUGGUUACCUGUUCUACGACAGAUGUUGCUUGUGAGACAAUAGCAUUGCGUGACAAUGAUAUGACAUUCAUCUUUUUUGUGUAUGUGGCUCCAAUAGCGAGGAUCAGAGGAAUGACCAGGAAGGAGAGCAUCGCGACUUCCCAGCAGCUGGCAAAUGCAAUUAUUAUACCAGCAAAGAAAGUGGAGAAGCUUGCGACGAAAUGACCGAGCUGCAGAAAUUGAGCUCAGAUGCAACUUCUCCACAGGACUUUAGAAAUCAUACAGUUAUUGUUCGAUAUGAUUGUGAAAUGCAUUACCUUCUCACCAAUUGCAUCUUGUAUGACAUUCAUGUGGUUGGUUACCCCGGUGAUGAUGUUUGCAGUGGACAAGUCUGUAUCGAAGGCCCCAACCUCUUGAUUAAGGACUGAUCUCAGAUAUUCCAGCCGCAUGCGUGCUAACUGCCUCUCACUCGAGUAUAUCCAGCAGGAGAUCUCUGCAGCCAGUUUAUCAGGGGAAAUACUGCAGAUAAAAACUCGAGGUUGUCGAUGUCUAGACUGUCCGCAACCAGCUCGGGGCGUUUGUUUGCACCUGCACCAGUUUGCUGAUGCACCUGUGUCCAAGAAGGAGCGUCCAAAGAGAUAGAAUGCAAAGCGAGCAUGAAAUUCUAUGUGUUAUCAGAACUCAUGUGCUCAUUUCUCAUCAAAUUUUGGCCGAAGCUAACAUCUGCGCCGUACCGCAUUGUGCGGGCGUUCGGCACGGCAGCUGGGCGGUUUGUUCUCGGAUUUUGGGGGCGAAAGCGCGUAUGUCUUGCAGCUAGCUUUUCGAGAUGCAAUCCAGAAGGCCGACUGGAAGCUACAGAGGAAACAAGUCUUGGGCAAGCAUGUGUUGUUUCGGCAGUUAUUUGUUUCUUUCCCAGGGGAGUGCAGGCGGAUUAGACCUUUCUAAACACGUCAUCGUCCAUGACAUUUUCACUGAUGGGAUAAGCGGAGAAUAUCCGAGUGACGUCCUGAAGACGCCAAGAGUGACCGGUUCAAAUGCCCUGUUAAGAAUUCAGAUUGCCGUCUCAUGCGUCUGUCUGUAUUCCAAGUUCUCGUCUCCGCUCUGCAUGAUUUUGUCUGCAAAUUUACCCGUAGCCACUAUAUGAUGGAGUUAUGUGGGCUUAUGUGUAGAUUCUCUUAUUAUAACCAGAAAGAGAGCGAUGUAACGAUCUGGAAAGAAUUUGUCACCAUAUGAUGGUGUUUAUUAGGAGCGACUGUCUGUUUACAGGCCUGA